This 466-nucleotide ribosomal RNA is filed under the name uncultured bacterium. Its description in RNAcentral is "bacterial SSU rRNA". It matches the Rfam family "Bacterial small subunit ribosomal RNA", at positions 917 to 1382 of the family's 1533-position model. The record is from RNAcentral.
GGACCCGCACAAGCGGUGGAUUAUGUGGAUUAAUUCGAUGCAACGCGAAAAACCUUACCUACCCUUGACAUGUCCGGAAGGCUGCUGAAAGGCGGCUGUGCCCGAAAGGGAACUGGAACACAGGUGCUGCAUGGCUGUCGUCAGCUCGUGUCGUGAGAUGUUGGGUUAAGUCCCGCAACGAGCGCAACCCUUGUCAUUAGUUGCUCCAUUCAGUUGAGCACUCUAAUGAGACUGCCGGUGACAAACCGGAGGAAGGUGGGGAUGACGUCAAGUCCUCAUGGCCCUUAUGGGUAGGGCUUCACACGUAAUACAAUGGCGCGUACAGAGGGCAGCGAAGGGGCGACCUGGAGCCAAUCCCGACAAAGCGCGUCGUAGUCCGGAUUGCAGUCUGCAACUCGACUGCAUGAAGUCGGAAUCGCUAGUAAUCGCGGAUCAGCAUGUCGCGGUGAAUACGUUCCCGGGUCUU